Long non-coding RNA from Ornithorhynchus anatinus (platypus), 311 nucleotides. RefSeq lists it as uncharacterized. The transcript is spliced from 2 exons. Lineage: Eukaryota; Metazoa; Chordata; Mammalia; Monotremata; Ornithorhynchidae. The record is from RefSeq and is a predicted model, not a curated record.
AGUAGGAGGAACUGAAGAAUAAGAAUCGCCGUGGAGAAGCUGUGAGGUCCGUCCACCCAACCAUCAAAAAAAAGAACAGACCUAAGCCCAAGAAUGAUAAGCCGAAAUCGAAAAUCACCAGAAAAGUGAAAAGGACCACGACUCACCGCGUUGCUGUUAAGAAGCCAAAGGGCAAGAAAAAGAAGAACUAGUGGAUUUCGUCCCGGAACGGCAAAAGGCCUGCCAAAGAACCAUCAGCGAUGAAGCAGUUUGGCCUUUUCGCCUGUUGUAUUUACGGUUUCCCGUUGGAAAAAUAAAGAAAACAAACUGAU